UAGUCCACGCCGUAAACGAUGUCUACUAGCCGUUGGAGGACUUGAUCCUUUAGCGGCGCAGCUAACGCGAUAAGUAGACCGCCUGGGGAGUACGGUCGCAAGAUUAAAACUCAAAUGAAUUGACGGGGGCCCGCACAAGCGGUGGAGCAUGUGGUUUAAUUCGAAGCAACGCGAAGAACCUUACCUACUCUUGACAUCCAGUGAACUUAGCAGAGAUGCUUUGGUGCCUUCGGGAACACUGAGACAGGUGCUGCAUGGCUGUCGUCAGCUCGUGUUGUGAAAUGUUGGGUUAAGUCCCGUAACGAGCGCAACCCUUGUCCUUAGUUACCAUCAUUUAGUUGGGGACUCUAAGGAGACUGCCGGUGACAAACCGGAGGAAGGCGGGGACGACGUCAAGUCAUCAUGGCCCUUACGAGUAGGGCUACACACGUGCUACAAUGGCAUGUACAAAGGGUUGCCAAACCGCGAGGUGGAGCUAAUCCCAUAAAGCAUGUCGUAGUCCGGA
RNAcentral lists this ribosomal RNA (505 nucleotides) under uncultured bacterium. RNAcentral's name for it is "bacterial SSU rRNA". It matches the Rfam family "Bacterial small subunit ribosomal RNA", at positions 791 to 1297 of the family's 1533-position model. The record is from RNAcentral.